CGUGCUUAACACAUGCAAGUCGAACGAUGAAGCCGGAGCUUGCUCCGGUGGAUUAGUGGCGAACGGGUGCGUAACGCGUGGGAAUCUGCCCUUGGGUUCGGAAUAACAGUUAGAAAUGACUGCUAAUACCGGAUGAUGUCGUAAGACCAAAGAUUUAUCGCCCAAGGAUGAGCCCGCGUAGGAUUAGCUAGUUGGUGAGGUAAAAGCUCACCAAGGCGACGAUCCUUAGCUGGUCUGAGAGGAUGAUCAGCCACACUGGGACUGAGACACGGCCCAGACUCCUACGGGAGGCAGCAGUGGGGAAUAUUGGACAAUGGGCGAAAGCCUGAUCCAGCAAUGCCGCGUGAGUGAUGAAGGCCUUAGGGUUGUAAAGCUCUUUUACCCGGGAUGAUAAUGACAGUACCGGGAGAAUAAGCUCCGGCUAACUUCGUGCCAGCCGCCGCAGUAA
Molecule: ribosomal RNA, 448 nt
Filed under: uncultured bacterium
Lineage: Bacteria
Description: partial 16S ribosomal RNA
Rfam family: Bacterial small subunit ribosomal RNA
Source: RNAcentral